AUGAGCUUUCGAAAGUGCAAGGAACCGUGUACCAGGUUCAUCACUAAGGGAGACACUCACGAAAGGUGCGUAGUCUGUUUGGGAUUACAUCACGCGCAGUCUGCGCUUAGUGGCCUUUCCUCUUGUCCCCACUGUGAUGGCCUGCGACUUAAAGUACUGCGCUCGAGGGUAGAAGUGUUUUCCGAGGUCGCCCCCGCGUCUAACCCCCGCCGUGUCGCUUCUGCGGCUGCCAAGGCACCGCACGAGGCGAUGGCUUGGGGAGACAUGUGCGACCUCACUUACGACGACAGCGCGGCGCUGGAGUUUUCUCCACAUCGCUCGCUCUCCCCUACCCGAGUGCAGGAUGCCACCUUCGUCGAACCCGUUGUGUUCUCGGACGGGGGUUUACAGCCCACCCCGGAGGCAUACGAUGCUAUCUCCUUCGGUUGUGGGCAGUUCGACGACGACGUCUUAUCCACCGCGGCCUCGGAGUCUGAGGACUUCGUGGCAGAUACGGACAGCCCUCUCCCUCCUAGCGGACAGGAGAAGCGCGUUUCCCCCUCCUACAGCGAGCUGUUGGAUGUGGUCUCUCGUGCGGUGGGUAAGCUGGGACUGGAUUGGGAGGUUGAGAAGGCCGAGGCCCAACCUUCAUCUAAGCUGGACGACCGUUUUUUAACUAGUCGUGCUCCUGCGCAGCCCCGUAGGCCCCUGCCUUUUUUCCCGGACCUCCACCAGGAGGUUUCGAGGUCCUGGAAGCAGCCCUACUCGGCGCGCAUCACGAACGCUGCGGCUGCGGAUUUCGCCACCAUUUCUGAUAUGGCGAACCGUGGCUAUACAGCGAUGCCUCCGGUUGAAGAGACUCUCGCCGAACAUCUGGUGCCUAAUUCGGCCACGGCAUGGAAGUCUCGCCCCCUCCUUCCUUCGAAGGCGUGUCGAGUCACGUCUAGCCUCGUCGGGAAAUCUUACAUGGCUGCUGGCCAGGCGGCCGCAUCGCUCCACUCUAUGGCGGUCCUCCAGGCCUACCAAGCGGAGCUUUUAAAGGAUCUCGACGAGGGGGAGGGCAUCACACCCGAGGCUGUGAAAGAGCUGCGUCGAGCAACGGAUUUGGCGCUACGCGCUACCAAACAUACUGCUCGGGCAGUGGGCCGUUCCAUGGCUGGUUUGAUUACGGUUGAGCGCCACCUUUGGCUGAAUCUCACCGAUAUCAAAGAAAAGGAUAAAUCUUUUCUCAUGGACGCGCCCAUUUCUAAGGACGGUUUGUUUGGAGAGGCAGUUACGUCGGUGGUGGAUAAAUUUAGGGCAGCGAAACAGCAAUCAGCCGCUUUCCGCCAGCUGAUUCCACGCAGACCCAGAGAGACUGAACGGCGGCAGGCGCCCGCGCGGUCUCGUUCAACCUCUUCAAACCGCCAACGGGCUGCCUCACGGGAAGAGCCUUCGCCUAUGGCGCCCCCUCGUAAGGACUGGGGUCCUAAGGCUUUUCCACCAGCUCGCCAGCGACAGCGGAAAAGAUUAGACCUGAGUUCGACGGCUAAUGCCUCUCGCUCUCGGGCUCCUAAUAGCAGCUCCUGUUAUUUUCGCUGCUUGCCAGGGACUGUGCCCUCCGCUAGAGAGCGCUGUUGGACCGUUUUCGCGCAUCCAACCCUCUCACUGCAGUCCCCACGCUCUAACAUUGACUGUCUCGCCGCAAAAGGCGCUUCGAGCAGCAUUGGAUCGAGCAACCAUGUCAGGCGUUUCCUCAGACACUCUGCGCGAUUCAGCCUUCAGAAUUCGAGGAACGCUACAAGGGUCUGGCAAAGACGGCCCGUUUAUGACGGCUCAUACAGCCGCCGCUUUUUCGCUAGCGGCAGAGCCCGAUGUUCAUCUUGUUGGAUUAAUUCCUGCCGUGGACACGCUUCAGGAUUAUACACAACGAGAUGCAACGGAUUUGACGCACGCGCUUCCCCGGCUUACGGACGCCGCGAGCUUUCCGUAUUCGGGCAUGUUAACGCGUAUGAAAAUGCUGAAAAAGGCGGAAACCCUGAAACCACUGACGCUAUUUCGGGCCACGUGGGAACGCUUGCCCGGCAUUUCGCAAUGGGUGUUACGCACGAUUCGUCUCGGAUACACCAUUCAGUUUCGAAAAGGCCCGCCUCCUUUCCGCGGAAUUCUUCCCACGGUUGUGAAACCAGAGGAAGUCGCGGUGCCGCGGCAAGAAAUGACAGCUCUGCUGAGGAAAGGGGCUAUAGAAGAAGUACACCCCUCUCAGAUGGAGUCAGGUUUUUACAGCCGCUAUUUUGUUGUACCAAAAAAAGGGGGCGGUUUGCGACCCAUAUUGGAUCUACGCCGUUUGAAUCUUGCACUCAGGACGAGCAAAUUCAAGAUGUUAACGGUAAAGUCCAUUUUGUCUCAGAUUCAACCAAACACUUGGUUUGUCACGAUCGAUCUGAAGGAUGCAUAUUUUCAUAUUCAGAUCAUCAAGAGACACAGGAAGUUCCUCAGAUUCGCUUUAGAGGGCAAAGCGUAUCAAUACCGUGUUCUUCCGUUCGGCUUAGCCCUGGCUCCCCGAACUUUUUCAAAAUGCAUGGACGCAGCUCUGGCCCCGUUGCGGCUCCAGGGCGUUCAUGUGUUGAAUUACUUGGACGAUUGGCUGGUGCUAGCUCAAUCACAGACUCAAGCACUCUCUCACCGAGAUUUAGUGCUGGAUCAUUUAAGCAGCCUCGGCUUAUGCACGAAUUUCCAGAAGAGUGUUUUAAUCCCCUCUCAACGGAUAACCUUUCUGGGAAUAGAUUUGGACUCUCGCGCGAUGACAGCCAGACUAUCUCUCCCGCGCGUUCAGUCUCUCACGUCAUGCGUGCGUCACUUCAAAGUAGGCCGCACAGUGACGGUGAGUUUGUGUCUCAGGCUGUUAGGUCUGAUGGCAGCGGCAUCCCCUGUAAUUCGUCUGGGCUUACUUCACAUGCGCCCUUUUCAGUGGUGGACGAAAAGUCAGAACAUUUCACCCCGUUGUUUUCCGCAUCGUACGAUUUCGGUGACACGGAGGUGUGUUAUGUCAAUAAAACAGUGGAUGUCAACCGAGUUCCUUCUAGCCGGAGUUCGGCUGGGGAUUUGUGCUUCCCGAGAGACUGUCACGACGGACGCGUCUUUGACCGGUUGGGGAGCUGUUUGUCAAGGGCGCCCAGCUCAUGGAGUGUGGACAGCGACACAACGCGGUUGGCACAUAAACAGGUUGGAACUACUGGCAGUUUUUCUAGCUCUCCAGUAUUUCUCAAAUCUGCUGACCGGCCGUCAUGUACUACUCAGGUCAGACAACAUGGCGGUUGUGUCAUACCUGAAUCAUCAAGGAGGGUUACGCUCUCGCCCCCUGUGCAGGCUGGCGAGGAGUAUUCUUCUUUGGUCUCGGAACAGAUUUCUAUCGAUCCGAGCAGUUCAUGUCCCCGGACGUUUGAACGUCGGAGCGGAUCUGCUAUCCAGACAGACUCUGGAGCAGGGGGAAUGAAGAUUACACCCACAGACGGUGAGCCUUUUAUGGCGGAUAUUCGGAGAGGCGAGAGUGGACUUAUUCGCGUCGAGCACGACUACGCAUUGCCCACUGUGGUUCUCCCUAUGCCCUCCAUCGCCCCUAGGCUUGGAUGCGUUAGCUCACGAUUGGCCCAGGACCAGCUUGUAUGCUUUUCCUCCAAUUCGUUUAAUUCCAGCAGUGUUGUCCAGGAUACGGCUGGACAGAGUGGAGCAGCUGCUGCUGGUGGCUCCGUGGUGGCCCACACAGCCGUGGUUUGCGGAAUUGGUCAGUCUAAUAGUGGGCUCUCCAUGGGAGAUUCCCCUCAGACAGGACUUACUAUCGCAAGCACGAGGGAUGAUUUGGCACCCGAGGCCAGAUCUGUGGAAGCUGUGGGCGUGGCCUCUGAGCGGAGUGAGUUAAUAUGUCCCGGUCUUUCUGCGGAAACCUCCGAGACUAUUAUGAAUUCCAGAGCAGCAUCUACGAGACGCUUAUAUGCUUUCAAAUGGAAGCUGUUUACGACCUGGUGUGGUUUUCGUAGUAUAGACCCAGUUUACUGCCCAGUGGCUUCAGUACUGGAGUUCCUUCAAGACCGUUUCUCUGAUGGAGUAACGCCAGCAACUUUGAAAGUUUAUGUGGCAGCCAUUUCAGCUAACCACGUAUAUAUGGAUGGUGCUUCAGUGGGCCGUCAUCCGCUGGUCUCUCGCUUUUUACAAGGUGCGCGACGGCUGAGGCCUUUCCGCCCUGUGCGAGUUCCCUCAUGGGAUUUAUCUAUUGUACUGCAAGGUCUAUCAGGACAUCCGUUUGAGCCCUUGGAAACCGUACCGGAUAAAAUCCUGACCUUGAAGACAGUUCUUCUUAUGGCUUUAUCCUCCCUCAAGAGAGUUGGGGAUUUACAGGCUCUUUCUGUUUCGCCGUCGUGCAUGGAUUUUGCACCAGGCUUUGUGAAGGUAUUGCUGCGACCGAGGCCUAAUUAUGUCCCUAAAGUCGCUUCGAACCCCUUUCAUUUUCAGCAGACGGUCCUGGAGGCUUUACCCCCUGCUGGGACAGGAUCAGAAGAUCUAAGUCUUUGCCCUGUCAGAGCGCUUAAGACUUAUGUCGAUCGAUCAGCCUCAUGGCGUGAGUCCGACCAGCUGUUUGUCUGUUUUGGACACAAGAAUAGAGGCCAUGCUGUCACAAAGCAACGCAUGUCCCAUUGGUUGGUGGAGGCAAUAUCUUUAGCCUAUGAGGCGCGUGGUCUCGCCUCGCCUCUAGGAGUCAAAGCUCAUUCCACUAGAGCAGUCGCUUCCUCUCAGGCGGCCCUCAGUGGAUCUUCUAUGGCUGAUAUCUGUGCUGCGGCAGGAUGGUCCUCACCGAGCACUUUUAUCAAGUUUUUACAGUCUGGAUGUAAGGACGGCUCCUGGCUCCCGGGUUCUCUCCGCUUGAGCAGAUGCUUCCUUGGAUCCCAGCUAUCAGGUACGUCAGGCGUUAUGGUAUAG
Cyprinus carpio carpio is the source of this 4932-nucleotide long non-coding RNA. Lineage: Eukaryota; Metazoa; Chordata; Actinopteri; Cypriniformes; Cyprinidae. The record is from Ensembl.